ACGGAGGGUGCAAGCGUUGUCCGGAAUCAUUGGGCGUAAAGCGUUCGUAGGCGGCAUACCAAGUCUGGUGUUAAAGCCCGAGGCUCAACCUCGGUUCGGCACUGGAUACUGGUAAGCUAGAAUACGGUAGAGGUGAAGGGAAUUCCUGGUGUAGCGGUGAAAUGCGUAGAUAUCAGGAGGAACACCGGUGGCGAAGGCGCCUUACUGGGCCGUUAUUGACGCUGAGGCGCGAAAGCGUGGGGAGCAAAUGG
This 251-nucleotide ribosomal RNA is filed under the name uncultured prokaryote. RNAcentral's name for it is "partial 16S rRNA". It matches the Rfam family "Bacterial small subunit ribosomal RNA", at positions 525 to 775 of the family's 1533-position model. The record is from RNAcentral.